Vicugna pacos (alpaca) is the source of this 3110-nucleotide non-coding RNA. Lineage: Eukaryota; Metazoa; Chordata; Mammalia; Artiodactyla; Camelidae. The record is from RefSeq and is a predicted model, not a curated record.
GUUUGCGUCCGCGAACUCCCGCCUCUUCGCUCUCUCUCCGCCCGAGAGCUUGGCGUGCGCGGAGGCGGCUGCUGAGGCGGGGUCUGCCCUAGCGCCUUUCGGAGGGCGCGGGCUGGUAGUUUAGUGGGAGGCCGCGACAUGGUUUUAACUGCUUUCGCAAACUGAUAAGGGGUGUCUCUCUCUCAACCCCCAGGGCGCCGUCGCGCUUGCCCAGAAGCCUGGAGCGUGGGCGGGCAGGCAAAGCAACUGCCCAGAAGUUUUGGCGACUAGCUGGAGUCGCCUGACAAGGAGAGAGCGCUCGGAACCCUCACGAGGAUUAUUUGGCCAAGGGAAUGACAUUCUGGAAACAAAGCCUACACUUUACCAGUGGCCCCACGAGAUUCCACAAAAGAAGUGAAAUCAGUAUUGAAGUGGCCUUAUGAAGAUGGCAACAGGACUACCCUAACUGACUGCUAACUUCUUACCCAAGGGAGAUUCACAUGUCCCAGGUUGAUCUCAUGGGAACCACCCCCCAUGGUUAUAUGUGGACAGAGUGGUGUUCACAGAGUUGAUACAAUACAGGAUCUGGCAUUGGAUGUCCUGCACAUAAGACCAGCUGUAUCAUAUAUUAUUGGAGUGACUUGGUGAAGCUACUUAACCUUCUUCAGCUUGAGUUUCUUCAUUUGUAAAAUGGGAAUGGAAACAACAUCUUCCUUAGAGAUUGAUUGCACAGGAGGAUAAAGUGAGGAAUAAAAUAAACAACCAGCUUUAUUUCUAAUAUUUCUGAGAGGACUUACACUUGCAAGAUGUAAGGUCUGACUCAUCACACAGCCAAAGCCCUUGGAAGUGUGAACAAGGAGCUGGAGACACAGUGAGGCUGAUCUUCCAAAUUGGGCAGAACCCAACUAAAUUGUGAAAUUCAAAGGAACAAAGAAGAGUCCAAGAGCAACCUGCACAGGUAAGAAAAUUAAUUUUCCCUUAGACAUACAAGAGGGGCACAGGGUCUGGAAGAAUUACUAUAAAGUCUCACAUGAAACUAUUCUUAUAUCUGUUGCACUAUGGGCACACCAUGGCUUGUUCUUCCACUUGUUUUUCCUUUCAGCACUUGCAGUUGGCUUUGUUAUCAUGCAUAGAAAAGUGCAGUGCUUUUUCUGAGGAAGGCUUACAGUUUAGGGGACAAACUGUUGAAUUAGUUUUCUGCAGAUGACUCUGUUUCCACUUGUCUUAUUUGUGCUGUAAAAAUUGCCAGGCUGUCCUCACAUUGGUUUGGUUUUCCCUUCUACCUAAAGGGGGUGAGGCUCUUGAUAGCAUCUCUGGGAGGAUGAUGCAGAUGUGUCCAGGCAGUGACAGGCUUGCCUUUGGCUAUAGUGACAGGUUCUUGCCUAAUAAGGCCAUACCAUGCUGCUCAGCUCACUGGGAAGUCAUCUUGUGCAUUGGGAAAAUUUCACUGUGAUCCAGUUCACUCAGUGUGUUGUUUUACUGAAUUUCAUACUGAUGAAAAUUAGUUAAAGAAAAAUAUUAAACACUUACUGUGUUCAAAAUAUGCCCUAAAUAUUCUGUGUAAUGCAUGGUCCCAAAACUCAUGCAGUUUUAAAAUGGAGAACUAUGUAUAAGCUCAUUGAAGAUUAUUGUAUUAGACCUAAAAUGACACUUACCUUUUAGGACACCUUUAAUUCUUUUUUUAAUGGGAAAUAUCUUUGUAAUAGAUUGAUUAUUAAAUAAUACAUUGUUUCCAAAAAAAUUUUGAAAUACAUAGAUGUAUAAAGGGGAAAGUAUAAAGGAUGAAAAAUUCUGCUUCCUAGAAAUAACUACUGUUAAAGAGUUUUGAUGAACAUUCUUUGAGCCAUCUUGCUAUGCAUACACACACACACACAUAUUAUACACACAUAAUUUUACAUAAGCUGAUUUAUAAUAUAUUUACUAUUUGUACAACCUGCCUUUUUUCAUUCAGAAAUUGUCAGGAAAUGGUUUCUCUAUCAAUAAAUGUAGACCAACAUCAUUAUACUUAAUUAGAGCAGAGUAUUCAGUUUUAUCACCACAGUUUAUUUAACCAAUCCCCUAUUAAUGGAAAUUUUAAAUUAUUUUCUGUUCUUUAAAAUAUUAUAAAUAAUGAUUGCAUGUGUGUCCAGUUAUGUCCUUAGCAUAAAUUACCUGAAGGUCAAAUUGCUGGGUCAAAGGAUAUGAGCAUUUAAACUUUUAAUAUGUAAUGCCACACUCCCCUCAAAAACCAGAGCCUUGGUUCAGAUACUGUUAGCCCAUUGACUCACUCUGGAGGCUCCUCAGAUGAAACAAGCUUACGGUCUCAUGGAUGUCUCUGCCAAGGUCAUUCUCUUGGUCUUUGUGGAGCCCUUCCACAGUCAUGGAGGCAGGAAGUGCCAGAAGUACCAGGGAGUUAAUGUGACUUCUACCUGGUAAAUGAUGGGAAUUGGUAGCUAAAUGCCCCAGUUUCUUUGCCUCUUGGUGGGACUCUUCUAAGGUGUGUAAUACACAAUCCUUGGAGGAAUUCAGUCUGUUGCCUGUAGUGAUUAUCUUGCUCAUUAACUCACUUGCUUGCUUUCCUCCCUUAGUGACUGACUUCCCCACUCCUUUUCUUGGCUUCCUGGGUUUGUACUCAAAUCCUAGUCUCAGGGUCUGCUUUUGGGGGAAGCCAAAUGAAGACAUCCUUCAUAUUACAGAUGAAAAGUGUGGUAGGCACAAUGAUGGGCCCCCAAAGAUGCCCACAUCUUAACUCCUGGAACCUGGAAAAUGUUACCUUACAUGGCAACAGGGAUCCUGCAGAGUUAAUCACAUGGUAAGAACCUUGAGAUGGGGAAAUUAUCCUGGAUUAUCCUAGUGGCCCUGAUAUAAUCACAAGAGUUCUUAAAAGUGAAAGAGGGAGACAGAAAAGGAGAGUCAGAAAGAAAUGUGAAGAACAGAGAGAUGCAGCGUUACUGGUUUUGAAGAUGAAAGAAGACAGCCAUGAACCAAGAACUGUGGGCAGCCUCCAGAAGCUGGAAAAGGCAAGGGAACGGAUUCUACCAUAGAUCAUCCAGAAAGGACCCAGCCCUUCCGACACCUUGAUUCUAGCCCACUAAGACCCACUUUGGACUUCUAACCUGAAGAACUGGAGUUUAAUAAAUUUGUGCCAAAAA